This 687-nucleotide ribosomal RNA is filed under the name Melanelia stygia. RNAcentral's name for it is "SSU rRNA". It matches the Rfam family "Bacterial small subunit ribosomal RNA", at positions 375 to 1038 of the family's 1533-position model. The record is from RNAcentral. Lineage: Eukaryota; Fungi; Ascomycota; Lecanoromycetes; Lecanorales; Parmeliaceae.
GCAAUAGCUACUUGCAUCAUUGAAAAUAUGAUGCAAGAUCGACUAUGUCGAAUAAAAUUCUAGGUAGAAUUAUGAUAAUGACAUUGUCUGCCUAUGUGUCUUGACCAAAUUACGUGCCAGCAGUCGCGGUAAUACGUAGAAGACUAGUGUUAUUCAUGUUUAAUCGGUUUAAAGGGUACCUAGACGGUAAAUCAAGCCUAAAAGGAAGGUAAUAAAGGGACUAAUUUACUAGAGUUACUUAUGAGGGGGUAUUAAAGUACUGCUGGUGUAGAGAUGAAAUUCUGUCAUACCUCUUUUCAAUAGAAAAAUAAUGGCACAGGUAUAGGCGAAAGCAUCCCCUUAUGUGAUAACUGACGUUGAGGGACGAAGGCUUUGUGUAGCGAACAGGAUUAGAUACCCCAGUAGUCAAAGCAGAAAAUGAUGAAUGUCAUAGAUUAGAUAUAUAAGUUUAUUCUAUAAAUGAAAGUGUAAGCAUUCCACCUCAAGAGUAAUUUGGCAACAUUGGAACUGAAAUCAUUAGACCGUUUCUGAAACCAGUAGUGAAGUAUGUUGUUUAAUUUGAUGAUCCGCAAAAAACCUUACCACAAUUUGAAUAUUUAUAUCUUUUAUUGUUUUUCUUUUUAACUUUCUUCUGAUUUUCUACUUAAAAGAAAACAAUAACAAGAAAAAAGAGGCAAUAAGACAAAA